GAUGAACGCUGGCGGCGUGCCUAAUACAUGCAAGUCGAGCGAACAGACGAGGAGCUUGCUCCUCUUACGUUAGCGGCGGACGGGUGAGUAACACGUGGAUAACCUACCUAUAAGACUGGGAUAACUUCGGGAAACCGGAGCUAAUACCGGAUAAUAUAUUGAACCGCAUGGUUCAAUAGUGAAAGACGGUUUUGCUGUCACUUAUAGGUGGAUCCGCGCCGCAUUAGCUAGUUGGUAAGGUAACGGCUUACCAAGGCAACGAUGCGUAGCCGACCUGAGAGGGUGAUCGGCCACACUGGAACUGAGACACGGUCCAGACUCCUACGGGAGGCAGCAGUAGGGAAUCUUGCGCAAUGGGCGAAAGCCUGACGGAGCCAUGCCGCGUGAGUGAUGAAGGUCUUCGGAUCGUAAAACUCUGUUAUUAGGGAAGAAGAAAUGUGUAAGUAACUAUGCACGUCUUGACGGUACCUAAUCAGAAAGCCACGGCUAACUACGUG
Molecule: ribosomal RNA, 497 nt
Filed under: uncultured bacterium
Lineage: Bacteria
Description: partial 16S ribosomal RNA
Rfam family: Bacterial small subunit ribosomal RNA
Source: RNAcentral